This 429-nucleotide ribosomal RNA is filed under the name Chloroflexota bacterium. Its description in RNAcentral is "Chloroflexi bacterium partial 16S ribosomal RNA". It matches the Rfam family "Bacterial small subunit ribosomal RNA", at positions 355 to 776 of the family's 1533-position model. The record is from RNAcentral. Lineage: Bacteria; Bacillati; Chloroflexota.
UGGGGAAUAUUGCACAAUGGGCGCAAGCCUGAUGCAGCCAUGCCGCGUGUAUGAAGAAGGCCUUCGGGUUGUAAAGUACUUUCAGCGGGGAGGAAGGGAGUAAAGUUAAUACCUUUGCUCAUUGACGUUACCCGCAGAAGAAGCACCGGCUAACUCCGUGCCAGCAGCCGCGGUAAUACGGAGGGUGCAAGCGUUAAUCGGAAUUACUGGGCGUAAAGCGCACGCAGGCGGUUUGUUAAGUCAGAUGUGAAAUCCCCGGGCUCAACCUAGGAACUGCAUCUGAUACUGGCAAGCUUGAGUCUCGUAGAGGGGGGUAGAAUUCCAGGUGUAGCGGUGAAAUGCGUAGAGAUCUGGAGGAAUACCGGUGGCGAAGGCGGCCCCCUGGACGAGGACUGACGCUCAGGUGCGAAAGCGUGGGGAGCAAACAGG